RNAcentral lists this ribosomal RNA (274 nucleotides) under uncultured bacterium. Its description in RNAcentral is "partial 16S ribosomal RNA". It matches the Rfam family "Bacterial small subunit ribosomal RNA", at positions 523 to 796 of the family's 1533-position model. The record is from RNAcentral.
AUACGGAGGGUGCAAGCGUUAUCCGGAAUCAUUGGGUUUAAAGGGUCCGCAGGCGGAUUAAUAAGUCAGUGGUGAAAUCCUCUCGCUCAACGAGAGAACUGCCAUUGAAACUGUUAGUCUUGAAUUCGGUCGAAGUAGGCGGAAUGUGUCAUGUAGCGGUGAAAUGCAUAGAUAUGACACAGAACACCGAUAGCGAAGGCAGCUUACUAGACCUGGAUUGACGCUCAUGGACGAAAGCGUGGGGAGCGAACAGGAUUAGAUACCCUAGUAGUCC